UACGUAGGAAGCAAACGUUGUCCGGAUUUACUGGGUGUAAAGGGUGCUCAGGCGGUCUUGAAAGUCAAUGGUGAAAUCCCGGAGCUCAACUCCGGAACUGCCUUUGAUACUACAAGGCUUGAGUAUGGAAGAGGUGGAUGGAAUUUCUGGUGUAGCAGUGAAAUGCGUAGAUAUCAGAAAGAACACCAGUGGCGAAGGCGGUCUACUGGUCCAUUACUGACGCUAAAGCACGAAAGCAUGGGGAGCAAACAGG
RNAcentral lists this ribosomal RNA (253 nucleotides) under uncultured bacterium. RNAcentral's name for it is "partial 16S ribosomal RNA". It matches the Rfam family "Bacterial small subunit ribosomal RNA", at positions 524 to 776 of the family's 1533-position model. The record is from RNAcentral.